Molecule: ribosomal RNA, 680 nt
Filed under: Achromobacter xylosoxidans
Lineage: Bacteria; Pseudomonadati; Pseudomonadota; Betaproteobacteria; Burkholderiales; Alcaligenaceae
Description: bacterial SSU rRNA
Rfam family: Bacterial small subunit ribosomal RNA
Source: RNAcentral
AGCCUCCUGGGAUAACACUGACGCUCAUGCAGAAAGCGUGGGGGAGCAAACAGGAUUAGAUACCCUGGUAGUCCCCGCCCUAAACGAUGUCAAUUAGCUGUUGGGGCCUUCGGGCCUUGGUAGCGCAGCUAACGCGUGAAGUUGACCGCCUGGGGAGUACGGUCGCAAGAUUAAAACUCAAAGGAAUUGACGGGGACCCGCACAAGCGGUGGAUGAUGUGGAUUAAUUCGAUGCAACGCGAAAAACCUUACCUACCCUUGACAUGUCUGGAAUGCCGAAGAGAUUUGGCAGUGCUCGCAAGAGAACCGGAACACAGGUGCUGCAUGGCUGUCGUCAGCUCGUGUCGUGAGAUGUUGGGUUAAGUCCCGCAACGAGCGCAACCCUUGUCAUUAGUUGCUACGAAAGGGCACUCUAAUGAGACUGCCGGUGACAAACCGGAGGAAGGUGGGGAUGACGUCAAGUCCUCAUGGCCCUUAUGGGUAGGGCUUCACACGUCAUACAAUGGUCGGGACAGAGGGUCGCCAACCCGCGAGGGGGAGCCAAUCCCAGAAACCCGAUCGUAGUCCGGAUCGCAGUCUGCAACUCGACUGCGUGAAGUCGGAAUCGCUAGUAAUCGCGGAUCAGCAUGUCGCGGUGAAUACGUUCCCGGGUCUUGUACUACACACUGCCUCCGGUUCCAA